GUGAAAUGCAGGCAAGAAGACUCUGGAACUUACCAUGAGGUCAUGGCUGAAUUUGUGCCAACUAGGGUCCUGUCCUAGACCAGCUUACCACAUCUAUGCACACAGCUCCUACACUGCAAGGUAAGAAGAAAAGUGUUUGGAAGUAAAAGUGAAAGUUGAGGUGUGCUGACACUGUGCCACGCGUCUGACUUGAACUUGGUGAUGAUGCCCAUAUGUGUGACUGGAAUGGCUUAAAAUGAAAGGGGAGGAGUGGGAAAACUUUGAUGUACUAAGUUCGUUCUGAUUUAAAAGCUAUUAAUAAAACCAGUGUGAA
This 313-nucleotide long non-coding RNA is filed under the name Chinchilla lanigera (long-tailed chinchilla). RNAcentral's name for it is "lncRNA (ENSCLAG00000022758.1)". The record is from RNAcentral. Lineage: Eukaryota; Metazoa; Chordata; Mammalia; Rodentia; Chinchillidae.